Cucumis sativus (cucumber) is the source of this 1384-nucleotide long non-coding RNA. RefSeq lists it as uncharacterized. The record is from RefSeq and is a predicted model, not a curated record. NCBI's taxonomy places the organism in Eukaryota, Viridiplantae, Streptophyta, Magnoliopsida, Cucurbitales, Cucurbitaceae. The transcript is spliced from 2 exons.
UUGGAUUGUUAAAAAUAAUUGUGUUACUAUUUCUUACAUUCCAUAAAGAACCCUUUCUGAUGGAUUAUUUCUUAUUGAACUGUUUUAAAAUUUUGAGUUUCUUCUUUUUCUUUUUUGGGUCCAUUGUUGGGGGAUGAUACAUCUUUAAUUUAGAUUUAUUAUCGUUAGCUUGUUUUGCAUUUUGUAUUAUGUUUUUUGAAAUUUUGAGUUUCUUCUUUUUCUUUCUUUGGUCAUGUGUUGUGCGAUGUUAUUUGCAUUAGGGGUGUUUGGUUGGUUGUUUUUUUAGGGGUGUUUUGGUUAGUUAGGCUUAAGAAGCAAGGGCUAGUGAAAGAGAAGCAUUUGAUUGUACUACAAGUAAUAAGCUUCUCCUCAAUCAUUCAACCAUUUUUUUAGUAAAGAAAGAGGCUUCUCCUCUGGCAACCAAAGUCCGUCCCUCGUUAACAGGUAUAAGUUGAAUGGAAGAGUUUUUUAGCCUUGAUAGAUCUUGAGUACCUGAAUCGCCGAUGAAACAGAGGUUAUUUUCUCGGAAAUUCCACGAAUUGUUCAGGUUUGGAUUCUGUAAUUCUGUUGUUCUUUUUUGAUUUUGGAGAGUGUCCUGGGUAAUUUUGAGGAUUAUUAUUUUUUUGUUUUUUUGGCUUGCAUUUAAUCACGCGCGUUGGGGAAUAGACAGGCUUCGGAGAAUGAAUCACCUUUUUAAGGUUUCGCUGGGGAGCGAAUUGGCCAUAAGGCAUCCCUUUCUGUUCAGUCUCUCUCUUGCCUUUUUCAUACUAUAUGGUUGUUGAUCUGGGGUUAUUAAAUGAUUGUUGCUUUUAUUUUCAUAAGAAGUGAUUUUAUAUUUUUGUUUCUCUCUGUGCAACUUUAAUAUGAGGUUAUUAAGGAAGGAGAUAAAGGAGGAAGAAGGGACGGAGAAAAGGAAGAAAUGACUGGAUUGUUGGGAUGGGUAUGAAGAUGCAGUAGAGCCACCACCUAGGGGCUGUAAGGUCUAAUGGGCAAAUUGAAAGUAAAAAAGAGUGCACAUCCAUUCAAGCUAAGAGAGCUUGGGUUCCUAAAUUACUAUUGCUCUGGGUUCUGUUGGUGGCAUUGAUUGGUAUUGUUAAUCUACAAGGGAAUUGAUGGUGUUAACAAAGUUAGAAGAAAGGAAGUUUUGGGCGUAUGUGUGACCAGAGGACAAAGAUGCUUCUGCAUCAAUUUACUGUCAGUGUUAAACUAUGUCCAUGCUUUGGUUAUUUUAUUUUCUACUUUCCACUCCUCUCGAAAUGUAUCAGCAAUUGUUCAUGUAAAUGUGUUUCGAUUUCCGUCUUUGAUACUUCUCAGUUAGUUAGGCUUAAAAGUAUGAGAGAUAAUUCAUUUCUCGUCUCAUAUAGAAAUUAUCUUGAUGUCUUGA